GGCAAAGUAGCCAAGCGUCCAAGGCACCAGGUUCAGGUCCACCUGAAUUCCCCAUUCAGCACAAACGAAUGUUUCCUGGUCUGAGAAAUCAGGCGUGAGUUCGAAUCUCGUCUUUGUCA
Non-coding RNA from Schizothecium vesticola, 119 nucleotides. NCBI's taxonomy places the organism in Eukaryota, Fungi, Ascomycota, Sordariomycetes, Sordariales, Schizotheciaceae. The record is from the annotation of a GenBank genome assembly.